This 196-nucleotide ribosomal RNA is filed under the name uncultured bacterium. RNAcentral describes it as "partial 16S ribosomal RNA". It matches the Rfam family "Bacterial small subunit ribosomal RNA", at positions 1307 to 1500 of the family's 1533-position model. The record is from RNAcentral.
GAAACUCGCCUACAUGAAGCUGGAGUUGCUAGUAAUCGCGAAUCAGCAUGUCGCGGUGAAUACGUUCCCGGGCCUUGUACACACCGCCCGUCACACCAUGAGAGUUGGCAAUACCCAACGUACGUGAUCUAACCCGCAAGGGAGGAAGCGUCCUAAGGUAGGGUCAGCGAUUGGGGUGAAGUCGUAACAAGGUAUC